GCCUAAUCUUAACCGAUGUAUCUUUAUUUGUUCAUCUCUACGAAAAUCUUUCAGGUUCUACGGGAAUGUGUACCAGAGCCUUCCAUAAUGCAAACUGUUCCGCAGUAUACACCGAGGUUAUAGGGUUUAGGGCCCAGGAGUGGACCACACCAUCAACUACCAUGGCGGAUCCCGCCCCUUGUUGGUUUUUCGAGCCAUCAGUAAAGAUAACCGUUUUAUUUGUGUAGUUGUUAGCGAUCUCCUCAAAUAGACGUAUCAACCACGGGUAGCAAUUGUACUGGUUUUUCUGCACUAGGUGAGGUAUUGUUUCGUGUAGUUCCCCCAGGAUCUCUUUAAACCGUAUCCCGAGCGGUCGUGGGAUAGUUGGCCUGGCGUCAAAAUCAUUUCCGUCUGGAAAUAGGAAAACAUUGUUCGGCUGUUGUCUUCGCGUAUCCAAUGGAGGCAAGUUCGAUUCACAAUAAAGACUGUGUAUAGGAGUGGUAGGAAACGCGCCUAAACAAUACUUUAUUCCAGUAUUAUGCACCCUAUCUAAUAGUAAUAGCGACGAUUUACGGGCUGAUGCAUAUACAAUCGCUCCAUAGUCGAUUUGCGACAUAACUAAGGCCCGGUAUACGUUUAUUAGCAUUUGCACCUCAGCACCCCAUUUGGUGUUCAAUAUGCGCGUUCCACGUUAGUUUGCUAUCAAACGUCAAUCCCAGAAAUUUUGUCGCUGUCACACACGCAACUGGUCUAUUUCCGAUAUAGAGUGACGGAUCAUAAUGUGGUCUGCGCAAUUUACAAAAAUGAACGCAUUUAGUUUUUUCCCUGGAAAAUUGUUUAACGUUUAUCUGGCCUACAGUGGCCCCGGAGCAAUAUAUCGCCAAGUCAUCAACAUAUAGAGCCCGAGAAACACCAGGCUCCACUCCGUACGCAAUCUCGUUAAUUGCAAUCAAAAACAGUGUACAGCUCAGCGUGGAGCCUUGCGGUACACCGUUUUCCAGUCGUUGAACUUUUGACAAAGUGUUUCCUAUCCGCACCCGGAAAUAUCUAUCGGUCAUAAACGAUUU
Molecule: long non-coding RNA, 1046 nt
Organism: Photinus pyralis (common eastern firefly)
Lineage: Eukaryota; Metazoa; Arthropoda; Insecta; Coleoptera; Lampyridae
Exons: 6
Source: RefSeq, a predicted model, not a curated record